This is a long non-coding RNA of Mya arenaria, 593 nucleotides long. RefSeq lists it as uncharacterized. The transcript has 3 exons. Lineage: Eukaryota; Metazoa; Mollusca; Bivalvia; Myida; Myidae. The record is from RefSeq and is a predicted model, not a curated record.
AAAAUGUGGAAUUCCGACAUAAAAGGAAAUACCACUCAAAUAGAAACUACGUUGAGUUUGGGCAAGUUGUGCGGUCCUUUUUCGGGGCUAUACAAGUGGUGGAUGUUUAGUCAAAAAUGCAGGAGCUUCAUUCUGCCGAAACCCAAAAUCAUGGAGUGUUUCUUCCAAAUGAUGUGAAUCUCUUUCUUUCACAUCAUCAUCAUUUUCAGCUAUGUGCAAGGACGCCAGUGACACAUCAAUGGCAGCCAUAUCAUCAACUACAUUGACCGAAAGGAUAUCUUCUGGGGGAAAAACAAUUCUAAAUAAACAACUGAAUACAUUCAGCGGUUAUUGGAGGAUUUUUUUUUUUAAUAUUAUCAAAUGUACUUUAAUAUGGUAUUUUUGUUAUUAAUGUCCUUAUUGCGAAUAACAUUUAAACCAUCUCUUGUUAUUUUAAUUGUGCUCUACUUUUUAACAAAAGGAAACACAACAACAGUAAAUUAAAAAUACUUAACGCAAACAUAUGGGUUUUUUUAUGUAUAAAACAUAAUUCAACAAUAUAUGUCAUAAAUGUGAAAUGGGCAUCAAAGUAUUAAAAGACAACAUACCUCUUC